GGGGGAAUAGCUCAGUGGUGAGAGCGUUGGUUUGUCAAGUCAAAGGUCGCGGGUUCGAUUCCCGUUUUCCCCG
This 73-nucleotide transfer RNA is filed under the name Labyrinthula sp. Its description in RNAcentral is "tRNA-Asp". It matches the Rfam family "tRNA". Rfam says of the family: Transfer RNA (tRNA) molecules are approximately 80 nucleotides in length. Their secondary structure includes four short double-helical elements and three loops (D, anti-codon, and T loops). Lineage: Eukaryota; Bigyra; Labyrinthulida; Labyrinthulaceae. The record is from RNAcentral.